Molecule: long non-coding RNA, 1579 nt
Filed under: Ananas comosus (pineapple)
Lineage: Eukaryota; Viridiplantae; Streptophyta; Magnoliopsida; Poales; Bromeliaceae
Description: long non-coding RNA (ACOM_LNC012954)
Source: RNAcentral
CCUUUUUUUCCACACACCACUACAACAGAAUUAGAUUAUAGGGACACAUAUUUGGGACACUUUUGAGUAAGUCUCCCAUUUAUCCUAAAACUUAAAAAAAUAUCUACUAAUACCUAAAUAUAAAGCCCAAUCCAACCAAAAAUAAAAGAUUACUCUACUCAACCCACCACACCAGUACAUUUGGCCCGAUUACAAACAGAAAAGUAAAAAAGAAAAGAAAAAUCAAUUAUCAUCUUUUCUUCUCUCUUCACUCAAUCCACUGAAAUUCUAGACGAAAAGCCUUUCCUGUCGUCCUCCUCCGCCACCGCAGCCAACGAGAUAGAGUUUCGGCGGUUGCUAAAUCUUUAAAUAAGUGUUGGUAAAUUAGCAGCACUCUUUUAGGUUAUAGCGACACUCUUUAACUGUCACUAUAUACCUAGCGACCCCACAUAUAGCAACACUUUUUAAAAGUGUCGGUAAUUUUAGCUAGCAGCACUUUUUUGACAUGUACCUACAUUUAAAAGUGUCGCUAUAGACCGUUUUUGUUGUAGUGCACCUAUACACAUCAAUUGUGCUUCAAUUUUAGUUAAUUAUUCUCCUUUGUUAGAUUCCACAUUUAUGUUUUUAAUUAAGGGUUGAAUAAUUGUUCCUUCAAGAUAGCUCAAUAAAAGAUAAAAAAAAAUACAUAUAUAGUACGAAAAGUUCUACAAAAAUUUGUCAAGCAAAAAAGCGAUUUGCGACGAACUUAAUUUAGAACAAUAAUUAAUGUUUUCCAUGUAUUAAGGAGCUUGUUUUAUCUUGUGGAAGCAUGAAUAAUAUUCUACCAGGCUAUGAAAUAAAAUAAUAAAAUAUAGUUUUCUAAAAGUGUAAUUAAUGACCAGUUUAGUAUUCAACGUACGUAGUUCUCCGGCGAUGCAUAAUAUAUCACUUGUGGAAAAACUUAAUUAACUAAAUUAUAGUGAUUGGUGUGAUGUAUUAUCACUUGUGGAAACAAAUUAAUGAAAUGUUUUCUCAUCACGCUUUCUCACCAUAUAGAAGCAUUACUCAUAUAUAUAUAUAUAUAUCCCUAUUUAGAAUAAUUAUUAUAAAAAAAUUUCCGAGUACCUUUUUGCGGUUAAUCAAUUAAUCCUCAACAAUUUUAUAAAGCAUCAAACAAAUUAAUCCUGUCCCAUUUUAAUUGCCACCACACCCAGUCCAUUUGGCCCGAUUACAAACAGAAAAGAAAAAAAAGAAAAGAAAAAUCAAUUACCAUCUUUUCUUCUCUCUUCACUCAAUCCACUGAAAUUCUAGACGAAAAGCCUUUACUGUCGUUCUCCUCCGUCACCGCAGCCAACGAGAUAGAGUUUCGGUGGUUGCUAAAUACUUAAAUAAGUGUUAGUAAAUUAGCAGCAUUCUUUUAGGUUAUAACGACAUUUUUUAACUGUCACUAUAUACCUAGCGACCCCACAUAUAGCAACACUUUUUAAAAGUGUCGGUAAUUUUAGCUAGCAGCACUUUUUUGACAUGUACCUAUAUUUAAAAAUGUCGCUAUAGACCGUUUUUGUUGUAGUGGAUGAACAACUUUAAAGCAUUUUCUGAACCAAUAGAGAAAAACACUUGC